This 497-nucleotide ribosomal RNA is filed under the name uncultured bacterium. Its description in RNAcentral is "partial 16S ribosomal RNA". It matches the Rfam family "Bacterial small subunit ribosomal RNA", at positions 28 to 507 of the family's 1533-position model. The record is from RNAcentral.
GAUGAACGCUGGCGGCGUGCCUAAUACAUGCAAGUUGAGCGAACAGACGAGGAGCUUGCUCCUCUGACGUUAGCGGCGGACGGGUGAGUAACACGUGGAUAACCUACCUAUAAGACUGGGAUAACUUCGGGAAACCGGAGCUAAUACCGGAUAAUAUAUUGAACCGCAUGGUUCAAUAGUGAAAGACGGUUUUGCUGUCACUUAUAGAUGGAUCCGCGCCGCAUUAGCUAGUUGGUAAGGUAACGGCUUACCAAGGCGACGAUGCGUAGCCGACCUGAGAGGGUUGUCCGGCACACUGGAACUUAGAACACGUUCCAAAUCCCAAGGGAAGGCAGAAGUGGGGAAUCUCCGGCAUGGGCCGAAGGCCUACGGAGGCAACGCGGGGUGAGUAAUGAGGGUCUUCGAUUGGUAAACCUCUGUAUUAGGGAAGAACAAAUGUGUAAGUAACUAUGCACGUCUUGACGGUACCUAAUCAGAAAGCCACGGCUAACUACGUG